RNAcentral lists this ribosomal RNA (253 nucleotides) under uncultured bacterium. RNAcentral's name for it is "partial 16S ribosomal RNA". It matches the Rfam family "Bacterial small subunit ribosomal RNA", at positions 524 to 776 of the family's 1533-position model. The record is from RNAcentral.
GACGAAGGGGGCUAGCGUUGUUCGGAAUUACUGGGCGUAAAGCGAGUGUAGGCGGUUUCCCAAGUCAGGUGUGAAAGCCUUGAGCUCAACUCAAGAAAUGCACUUGGUACUGGGUGGCUAGAGGACCGGAGAGGAUAGUGGAAUUCCCAGUGUAGUGGUGAAAUACGUAGAGAUUGGGAAGAACACCAGUGGCGAAGGCGGCUAUCUGGACGGUUACUGACGCUAAGACUCGAAAGCGUGGGGAGCAAACAGG